RNAcentral lists this transfer RNA (85 nucleotides) under Clostridium sp. JN-9. Its description in RNAcentral is "tRNA-Leu". It matches the Rfam family "tRNA". Rfam says of the family: Transfer RNA (tRNA) molecules are approximately 80 nucleotides in length. Their secondary structure includes four short double-helical elements and three loops (D, anti-codon, and T loops). Further hydrogen bonds mediate the characteristic L-shaped molecular structure. tRNAs have two regions of fundamental functional importance: the anti-codon, which is responsible for specific mRNA codon recognition, and the 3' end, to which the tRNAs corresponding amino acid is attached (by aminoacyl-tRNA synthetases). tRNAs cope with the degeneracy of the genetic code in two manners: having more than one tRNA (with a specific anti-codon) for a particular amino acid; and 'wobble' base-pairing, i.e. permitting non-standard base-pairing at the 3rd anti-codon position. The record is from RNAcentral. Lineage: Bacteria; Bacillati; Bacillota; Clostridia; Eubacteriales; Clostridiaceae.
GCAGGAGUGGCGGAAUCGGCAGACGCAUGCGUUUAAGGGGCGCACGCCGAGAGGCAUACGGGUUCAAGUCCCGUCUUCUGCACCA